GAACACCAAAACCCACCAAACUCCAGUGAUUUGAUAGCUUUGUUUCCAUUGUCACAUUUAAGGAUAAUAUGCCAUAAUGAAAAGAAACUUAUUCCAAUAGUAACAUCAAACUGUUACCAAGUUAUACCAAAGCAAACACAACAACAAAGCAUAACAACUCCAUAAUAAAUAAAUAAAGAGAAACCAAUGUACUAAUUUUCCCCAGUCCCGACCAAUACGACAUCGUCACUCCGUAUAAUUCAACUGAUCAAACACUUCCAAUCUGCCAGAACUGCAUUUUCAUGUGGCUCCAGUGUACACUCCAACGGUAGACAUUGUGCACAAUCUAAGGUAGUAUCGGGCACCCUGAAGACAGCGGUAGAACGUGUUGGUGCUCGUGCUGUAACUGUUGGGGCGCAGCGGACGAGAAUAGAGUAAAUAUAUUGCACUAAUAAACCACACACCGUAAAUAUUUCCCAGGUAAGUU
RNAcentral lists this long non-coding RNA (466 nucleotides) under Linum usitatissimum (flax). RNAcentral's name for it is "long non-coding RNA (LUSI_LNC002932)". Lineage: Eukaryota; Viridiplantae; Streptophyta; Magnoliopsida; Malpighiales; Linaceae. The record is from RNAcentral.